This 476-nucleotide ribosomal RNA is filed under the name uncultured bacterium. Its description in RNAcentral is "bacterial SSU rRNA". It matches the Rfam family "Bacterial small subunit ribosomal RNA", at positions 15 to 507 of the family's 1533-position model. The record is from RNAcentral.
GAUCAUGGCUACAGGACGAACGCUGGCGGCGUGCUUAACACAUGCAAGUCGAACGGUAAGGCCCUUCGGGGUACACGAGUGGCGAACGGGUGAGUAACACGUGGGUGAUCUGCCCUGCACUUCGGGAUAAGCCUGGGAAACUGGGUCUAAUACCGGAUAGGACUCCUGGCUUCAUGGUUGGGGGUGUAAAGCUUUUGCGGUGUGGGAUGGGCCCGCGGCCUAUCAGCUUGUUGGUGGGGUAAUGGCCUACCAAGGCGACGACGGGUAGCCGGCCUGAGAGGGUGACCGGCCACACUGGGACUGAGAUACGGCCCAGACUCCUACGGGAGGCAGCAGUGGGGAAUAUUGCACAAUGGGCGCAAGCCUGAUGCAGCGACGCCGCGUGAGGGAUGACGGCCUUCGGGUUGUAAACCUCUUUCAAUAGGGACGAAGCGCAAGUGACGGUACCUAUAGAAGAAGGACCGGCCAACUACGUG